This 148-nucleotide non-coding RNA is filed under the name Homo sapiens (human). The record is from Rfam by way of RNAcentral. Lineage: Eukaryota; Metazoa; Chordata; Mammalia; Primates; Hominidae.
GCCGGGCGCGGUGGCGGGCACCUGUAAUCCCAGCUACUCGGGAGGCUGAGGCAGGAUAAUUGCUUGAACCCGGGAGUUGGAGGUUGCAGUGAGCUGAGGUCACACCACUGCACUCUAGCCUGGGUGACAGAGCAAGAUUCUGCGUCCA